RNAcentral lists this ribosomal RNA (423 nucleotides) under uncultured bacterium. RNAcentral's name for it is "bacterial SSU rRNA". It matches the Rfam family "Bacterial small subunit ribosomal RNA", at positions 98 to 507 of the family's 1533-position model. The record is from RNAcentral.
CGGAACGGGUGAGUAACUACGUAGGAAUCUGCCUAUUAGGGUGGGGGAUAACGAAUACGGAAAGGUUCGCUAAUACCGCAUACGUCCGUACGGGAAGGAAAGGGGGGGAUCUUCGGACCUCUCGCUAAUAGAUGAGCCUAGGCCGGAUUAGCUAGUUGGUAGGGUAAAGGCCUACCAAGGCGACGAUCUGUAGCUGGUCUGAGAGGAUGGCCAGCCACACUGGAACUGAGACACGGUCCAGACUCCUACGGGGAGGCAGCAGGUGGGGAAUAUUGGACAAUGGGGGCAACCCUGAUCCAGCCAUGCCGCGUGUGUGAAGAAGGCCUUCGGGUUGUAAAGCACUUUAAGCGAGGAGGAAGGUUUUUAGUUUAAUACACUAAAGAAUUGACGUUACUCGCAGAAUAAGCACCGGCUAACUCUGUG